This 381-nucleotide ribosomal RNA is filed under the name uncultured bacterium. RNAcentral describes it as "bacterial SSU rRNA". It matches the Rfam family "Bacterial small subunit ribosomal RNA", at positions 518 to 898 of the family's 1533-position model. The record is from RNAcentral.
CGGUAAUACGUAGGGUGCAAGCGUUAAUCGGAAUUACUGGGCGUAAAGGGUGCGCAGGUGGUUAUACAAGACUGACGUGAAAUCCCCGGGCUCAACCUGGGAAUGGCGUUGGUGACUGUAUGACUAGAGUGUGGCAGAGGGGGGUGGAAUUCCACGUGUAGCAGUGAAAUGCGUAGAGAUGUGGAGGCACCCCGAUGGCGAAGGCAGCCCCCUGGGCUAACACUGACACUCAUGCACGAAAGCGUGGGGAGCAAACAGGAUUAGAUACCCUGGUAGUCCACGCCCUAAACGAUGUCAACUGGUUGUUGGGGAUUUCGAUUCUUAGUAACGUAGCUAACGCGAGAAGUUGACCGCCUGGGGAGUACGGUAGGCAAGGUUAAA